AUUGAACGCUGGCGGCAUGCCUUACACAUGCAAGUCGAACGGCAGCACGGGAGCAAUCCUGGUGGCGAGUGGCGAACGGGUGAGUAAUAUAUCGGAACGUGCCCAGUCGUGGGGGAUAACGUAGCGAAAGCUACGCUAAUACCGCAUACGAUCUAUGGAUGAAAGCGGGGGAUCGCAAGACCUCGCGCGAUUGGAGCGGCCGAUAUCAGAUUAGGUAGUUGGUGAGGUAAAGGCUCACCAAGCCGACGAUCUGUAGCUGGUCUGAGAGGACGACCAGCCACACUGGGACUGAGACAGGCCCAGACUCCUACGGAGGCAGCAGUGGGGAAUUUUGGACAAUGGCGCAAGCCUGAUCCAGCAAUG
RNAcentral lists this ribosomal RNA (363 nucleotides) under uncultured bacterium. RNAcentral's name for it is "bacterial SSU rRNA". It matches the Rfam family "Bacterial small subunit ribosomal RNA", at positions 30 to 396 of the family's 1533-position model. The record is from RNAcentral.